Molecule: long non-coding RNA, 4387 nt
Filed under: Mus musculus (house mouse)
Lineage: Eukaryota; Metazoa; Chordata; Mammalia; Rodentia; Muridae
Description: predicted gene 44751
Source: RNAcentral
AUGAUCUACCUGUCUCUGCCUCCUAACUAUAUUGUUUUAAAAAAUUGUAGUUGACUAAAAUACCAUUUUCUCUGCUGUGAAGGAAAGUAACACUCUAGAAAUGUGCACUGUGGCUUCAUCUUUUAUUUUUGUUAGGUUUUUGCUUGCUUGUUUGUUUAAGUUUUAGUGUUUUGAGGUAGGGCCUUACCAUGUGGCCAAAUCUAGCCUUUGAUUUAUAAUCCUCUUGGCUUUGUCUCCUGUGUGCUAGGAUUGUAGAUAUGCUUUCCCAAAUCCAGGCAUACUGUGUUUAGACUACACACAAUCUUGAAUGUCUAAUGGCUUGCCAAAGGUCUUUGACAGUCUUGUGUUGAUAAGGAAACAGAUAUUCUGCCAUAGACAGCUAAGGUCAUUACUUUGUAGUCAUCCAGCAAAACAUAAAGUUUUUGUGACUGUUGCUAAUAUUUAUUCUUAUAUAAUGCUUUGCCUCUGUGAAAGUCUCUCUGAAGUAUAAAGUAUAAUCUCUGACUUUCAUGAAAUAUUUUAACAAUUUUUCAAAGGUAUAAUAUAGACUGAACAUAGCUGGCUCUGGGCACCACUUCUUACAAUCAUGCGGAGUUGAGAACAAUAGUUUGAAGACAUUCUAACUUUUCAGGCAACAAGAGGAAUAGCCAAGAACAAGAGCGAAAGUAUUCUGUGCUCAAAAUGAAGAUUAGUCUAUACUGGGAGGUAGUUUUCUGUACAAGGCAGAAAUUGUCUCACUCCACUGCAGUUAAAGGAGUUUAGCAAAGACAACUUGAAAAUGAUGGACCAUCUUUCCAGUCUAAAGCAUGCAGCAAAGGUCUGUUGUCUGUAGAUUGUUUAUAGUAGCACCAAUAAACCAUAAUAUCAGUCUGCUGACACUGAGCCCUCAAAAAACUAGAGUGAGCUAGUCGGUAAACCUCUCUAAACAAAGCCUCAGAACGUCUCCAGGAUUUGUCCAUGUGACAAAGGGGGAAAUUAAAGUGGACAUUUUAAGUCUGGCACAGCCCAGAGCCAUUAUGUCUAGAAUCUGCUGGUUCUUGUUGAUUAUUUGUUAAAUCUUACAAAGCUUCUUUAUCCUGUCUGAUUUUCCAUGUCUGUGAAAUAUAUAACUUUUUAUCUUACUUUUUAAUCUUAAUACACUUUUAGUUAAAAUGGAAAACAUCAUUUUCCCCUUUUCCUCCCUCCAGCUGCUUCCAUCCUCUACCUCCAACUCUUACCACACUUCCCAACUUUCAAAUUGAUAACUUCACUCUCUUUGGUCGUUAUUGUUGCAUAUAUACAUUUUUAUGUAUAAGUAUAUAAAUACAACCUGCUGAGUUUUUUUGUUGUUGUUGUCAGUAUACAUGGUCUGUUUGUGUUAGAUAACUGCUUUGGAGUGUGAUCCCUGAGACAGGUCAAUUCCCCUUCUCCCAGCAGUCAUUAGCUGUCUGUAAUUCUUUGUCUAGAGAUGGGAGCCCUUGAGUUAGAUAUCUCUCCUUACUCAUUAGCACGUCUGUUGAUAUUGCCAUUGUUUAGUCUUGUUUCUGCAAGCAUUUCAAUGACAGAAGUCAUUGGCAGUCUGGCUCUUCAGUCUUCCCACCCCGUUGUCUACUGUGCAAUUUCCCUGACACAGAUGCAGGAUGUGUGAUGAUCCUGUGAAUUCUCUACUUCUAAGGUCUUAUCCUAGGUCAUGAAAGAGUUUUCAUUUGUCUUUUCAAUUGCACUUGUGUGGUGGAGCACACCUUUAAUCCCAGCACUCCUAAGGCAAUGGCAGGCAGAUUCUGUUGAGUCUGAGGUCAGGUCCUCACAGUGAGUUCCAGGCUAGCCAAGGUUACACAGUGAGGCCCUGUGUUAAAAAACAAAUAAACGAAUACACAAAUUAAAAUUAAACUUUCUACUUUGCUACUUAAAAUCGUGGCCUUUCACCUAAAACCAUUUUAUUCAAGUAAGGGAGCUAAAAUAGAUUUAAGUAACUCAGUUUCUUUACAUAAGCAGUUGCCUGUGGAACUCUAUCUUAUGCCUAACCACUUAACUCAGGAACUGAAUAGAAUUUGAUAGCAAGAGAAACAGUUACCUGCUUCAAACAGAUCUCUGAGACUGACAUACUCUCUUCAGUAUAUACAAAGUAUCCAGAAAAGCCCUGGGCAUGUAGUAAGGACUGUAUAAAUAUUAGUUACCUUUCAAGCUAUCUUCCUACAAAUUGAACUUUUAAAUAAUUUGCUAUGGAAAAGAGCUAAGAUAUAUUCUAUAAACAAAAGAAUGUUAUGGGAGAAUUCAUGGGAAUUUUAAAUCUUAUUUAAGAAUCCACAAAAAAAGUAAUGAAAGAAGCCACAGAGAAACCUUCAAAAGACUUUUAACCUUUAACUUAGGGAAGGAGAUGCUAUUGAUUUGAAUUGGUUUGGGUUAAUUUUCAUUGUUGUUUUAAGGUUUUUACAUUUUUCACCCUUAUGGUUCUUGCUCCUACCCAGGGAAACAGUAAGUGUGGCAGUAAAGGGGCUUUGGAAACCGGUGAAAGUGUUGCAGAGCAACACUGAAUCAGAGCAAGCUAAGGUUAAUCUAAGAUUUUCAUAACUUUCCUUCUUAGGUUCCAACAUUAAGUAGAUUCUAAAAAUACUCUAAAGAUGAACACAUUACAGCACUGAAGCAUUUUCUAGCUCACCUCUGUCUUUAAAAAUGUCUUGGUUUCGUGGGAGAGGAUACACUUAGCCUUGCAGAGACUUGAUGUGCCAAGGAGGGUGGAUACACAGGAGGGUGGGGGCAUUGGGAGCUCCACCCUCUCAGAAGAGAAGGGAAGUAGGUGAAGGAUUGUGUGAGGGGCUGACCAGUAGGAGAAGAAUCUGGAUGUAAAAUGAAUAGAUAAAAUUAAUUCAUUAAAGAGGGAGGUUGUUUAUGGGAGGCGAAAUAACAGGCCUAAGGAGGUUCCUGAUAGAAAGGCAAUUAGACCUCAAUGUGUUUAGAAUUUUCAAAUGUUUUUUAUAGUCCUUAUCUGUAAACACAUUUCUAAAAUUCUUUCUAGCUCUCACAAUUUAAAUUUUGUUUGAGGCAAAGUGCUUCAAGUAUAUUCAACCCAUAGAUGACAGUUUAAAAAGCUUAAUUGAAUGGGUUUCCUCUAAAUAUGCUGAUGUUAAUGUUUAUAUUUUUAACAUUGUCAAGAAGAAACUUCCUGAGCAAAAUUACAGGUGGCGAUGCCAAGCGUGCUGAAGGCACUGUGUGACAAAGUUCUUUUGGUGCAUCUUGAAAGCACUAUUUGACAAAGUUCCAGUGCUUGGACAGUCUGGACUGAUCCUUCACUACUCUUGAUCAAUACUGGCUGCACACCCUUUCCUAUACUUAUGCUUCUUGCUGUUAGAGGCCUCUCUCCAAAGGCUAGACCUGUAUAACAAAAAGCUAGUGAAUAUGAGAAUGAAAUCAACAAAAGUUCCCUGGAAAAACCAGUUAUACUGAAAACUGAGUCUUUCCUAAAAACUUAUUAUUUUAAUGAAUAUUCAGAUCCUAAUGAGUGUUGUUAGUAUGAGGAAGAGGAUUUGAGAAGAGUUAUUUAAGAAGAAAACUUUAAGGAAAUUUUAGAAAGUGACAAGCUGUAAUUGAAUUGCUAGGUUUCUUAAUGUUUAAUUUUAGAAACAAGGAACUUGUAGUAUAGGAAGAGACUUUGAUCAUGCAAGUUUAUGACAAGCCUUGGUACCUUCUUAAUGACAAAAGUAAGCAGUUUUAGGGACCCUGGUGUUCUUCUGUUCUUUACAGAACUGUAAUAAAGUUCGGAAUCAUAUUAAUAGAAACAAGGGUUCAAAACAGAGACACAGAGGAAGGCAUCUUGGCUCAAUACUGCCUGCCUUCCUGAACAAACCUGUCAGACCAGAACUUCACUGAUAGACUGGCCUUGCUUCAGCAAAGGGGCUGAACAAUAUUUUAAGAAUCAAAGAAAGGGGACGGUAGUCUUAUGUCAAAUAUAAAAGAAAUAUAGAGGAAGGAAAGGAAUAAUUGAGUAAAGGUUGAACUUCUGUGAAAAGUUAAAUAUGAUAUAGUAGGUAGUAGGAAAUCACUUUUGAUCUAUUGGUCUUAUGUCAAACUGAAACAGAAUCGAAUUUAAAUAGAGUCACUCUAUCUAGCAUGUCUGUAACCGCAAGGCUUUAUAACACCAAUCUUAAGGAAGAAGAUAUUGAGUUUAAAGAAAAUUGAUUUUAUCAAAUGUUAAUCCUUAGUUCCUAUAAAAUUGCAGUUUGCUUGCUUUGUCUUUUAAUAUCCUUAUGUAAUCAGGAAGAAUACGUAUUUUGAAAAGCUGUGUAAUCAGUGCAUAAAAUUUCUGAGGAAAUGAUUUUGUGUAUAAAUAAAACCUGAAAGAGACAAGAGUUGUCAGAGUAGGAAAAGCCAUACUGAAAUGUGCUUCCUCUCUGUCCCUUCUCUCAUGAAG